ACGGCUCAGUAACACGUGGAUAACCUGCCCUUGGGUCCGGCAUAACCCCGGGAAACUGGGGAUAAUUCCGGAUAACGCACAUAUGCUGGAAUGCUUUAUGCGUAAAAUGGAUUCGUCUGCCCAAGGAUGGGUCUGCGGCCUAUCAGGUAGUAGUGGGUGUAAUGUACCUACUAGCCUACAACGGGUACGGGUUGUGAGAGCAAGAGCCCGGAGAUGGAUUCUGAGACAUGAAUCCAGGCCCUACGGGGCGCAGCAGGCGCGAAAACUUUACAAUGCGGGAAACCGUGAUAAGGGGACACCGAGUGCUAGCAUCAUAUGCUGGCUGUCCGGGUGUGUAAAAUACACCUGUUAGCAAGGGCCGGGCAAGACCGGUGCCAGCCGCCGCGGUAACACCGGCGGCCCGAGUGGUGAUCGUGAUUAUUGGGUCUAAAGGGUCCGUAGCCGGUUUGGUCAGUCCUCCGGGAAAUCUGAUAGCUCAACUGUUAGGCUUUCGGGGGAUACUGCCAGACUUGGAACCGGGAGAG
Molecule: ribosomal RNA, 524 nt
Filed under: uncultured archaeon
Lineage: Archaea
Description: bacterial SSU rRNA
Rfam family: Archaeal small subunit ribosomal RNA
Source: RNAcentral